AAAAACUUAGGAUUAACCAAACCAAGAGCCUUCAAAGCUCAAAAUAGGAGUGAAAACCCCCUAGUUUUUG
RNAcentral lists this transfer RNA (70 nucleotides) under Anolis porcatus (Cuban green anole). RNAcentral's name for it is "tRNA-Trp". It matches the Rfam family "tRNA". Rfam says of the family: Transfer RNA (tRNA) molecules are approximately 80 nucleotides in length. The record is from RNAcentral. RNAcentral also lists the same sequence under 2 other names. Lineage: Eukaryota; Metazoa; Chordata; Lepidosauria; Squamata; Anolidae.